This 442-nucleotide ribosomal RNA is filed under the name Pseudomonas aeruginosa. RNAcentral's name for it is "bacterial SSU rRNA". It matches the Rfam family "Bacterial small subunit ribosomal RNA", at positions 617 to 1058 of the family's 1533-position model. Lineage: Bacteria; Pseudomonadati; Pseudomonadota; Gammaproteobacteria; Pseudomonadales; Pseudomonadaceae. The record is from RNAcentral.
GGAACUGCAUUCGAAACUGGCAGGCUAGAGUCUUGUAGAGGGGGGUAGAAUUCCAGGUGUAGCGGUGAAAUGCGUAGAGAUCUGGAGGAAUACCGGUGGCGAAGGCGGCCCCCUGGACAAAGACUGACGCUCAGGUGCGAAAGCGUGGGGAGCAAACAGGAUUAGAUACCCUGGUAGUCCACGCCGUAAACGAUGUCGAUUUGGAGGUUGUGCCCUUGAGGCGUGGCUUCCGGAGCUAACGCGUUAAAUCGACCGCCUGGGGAGUACGGCCGCAAGGUUAAAACUCAAAUGAAUUGACGGGGGCCCGCACAAGCGGUGGAGCAUGUGGUUUAAUUCGAUGCAACGCGAAGAACCUUACCUGGUCUUGACAUCCACAGAACUUUCCAGAGAUGGAUUGGUGCCUUCGGGAACUGUGAGACAGGUGCUGCAUGGCUGUCGUCAG